Molecule: long non-coding RNA, 2699 nt
Filed under: Marmota monax (woodchuck)
Lineage: Eukaryota; Metazoa; Chordata; Mammalia; Rodentia; Sciuridae
Source: RNAcentral
CUGUGCCCUCUGAACCUGGCUGCAGCCAAACAAAACCAUUUCCUGCUAUCUUUGGUGCCUUGUCUCGUUUGUCCCUACUAAACUAAUACUCCAGAGUGAAAAUUAUCAAUGUAAAUGAUACUCAAAUAGCUGGGACCAACCACUAAUUCUUUCUAAAUCAUCUAACUUACUGUCUGGAAUCUUACCUCCUUAGAACAGGUGGCCCACAGGUUUUCUUGAUCAUCUUUUUGGGCAAUUUGGUUUGUUGCUUUCUUCUUGUCAGUUUUCCAGGCCUACGAAGCUGUAAACAUUUACAUUAUGGUUCAAGUACAACAAAAUUAAUUUUUAAUUAUGCUUAUUGAGGCAGAAGAAGUCCAAGACUUGACUUACACAGUUACUUGUAAAUAAUCUACAUUUUAAACCUCAUUGGAGUUGUCCACUUGAUGUUUCUCUAUGAAUUUUGAACUUCUGUUGUCUUUUGCCUUUUUAUUGUGUAGGAAAGAAUAGCUGUCUAAAUUUGCUCUGUGGUUUUGUAAACACUUUCUGUAAAGUGUAUAUAAACAGUUUCAUAUAGCACUUGCAAUAGAGGCUUUUGUGGGCCUUCUGUUCUUUGUGUUUAAUGCGUAGAAAGAAAAAAUAUGUCUCAUUUGUUGCAUGAUUGUUAUCAACUACUUAUUUCUUAACUGGAUCUAAAAUUCAUUUAACAUCAGAUACUUCCACUAAAUCUCCUAAUUGGAAAAAAGCAAUUCAAAUAAUCACUAUCAGGAGAAGAAUGUUUAGUUUGGAAUAUUUUUUGAAGUAAAACUAUAACACAAAGUUUCAUUUUAACUGCUAUGUUUUCUAAGGAAUUUAUUUGAGCCAAUCAAUAAUGAUAAGUUUUAAAUAUACAUGAUUUAGGAACAGAGAGAAGGGAUGAGAAUUGAAAACAUGCAGUAGUUUUCAAAGCCUCUUUAGAAAGUAGAGGAAGGGAUUUGACACCUUUCCUUCAAAAUAUUUACAGCUAACAUGACUCUAAAAUUUGAAAUGUAUUGUGAGGUUUUCUUACUUUCAUUUCUUUUAAAUCCUUCCCUGUAUUGUAUCACAGUCUACAUUUAUAAAUGUACAUUUUCCUUAGUGGGACACAUUGGGUUGAAGGAUGAAAGGUGUGAUAGGAUCAAAGGGUAUUUAAACAUCAUUGACUCCAACUCCAUGUUCCUUGGAGUAGGACAUCUGGAGUUAAUUCACUUGCCUGGGGCCAUAUAUCAGGUCUGUAGCAGCCAGGGAUAGAACAUUGUCUGUCUUUCUUUGUGUCCAUGUUCUUGCCAGGAUAUUCUACUCACUGCAUGUUUGAUUUUAGGGUAAGUUUUAGGCUGCUAGGAACUCAGUUAGGAAGUUACCCAUGGCACUUUACAGAUGGAUACAAAUUGUUCUAGUCUUUCUUUUUAAGCUUAUAUCCAUGAACUCCCAACUCAGUUUCCUUAGAAAACAAGGUCCAGACUGUUAAGUAUCCUUAUGCUGGUGGUAUGGAAACUGAUUGGUAAAAUAUCAGUACGUAGAAAAUUAAUUAAUAAAAUAACUCAUUUCUUAUUUCAUAUGGAUCAGGAGCAUGUGUGUGCCAGGAGUUGUUGUAAAUGUAGUGGACAACAACAACCCAAGAAAUAGCCCCAAAUCCCUGCCAUUAUGGAGACAGGGUUCUAGUUGUAAAGAUGAAGUUAAGGUCCAGGGGAAUAGAAAAGAAGUAGAUGAGAUUACUGCAUUCAAGUGCUUAAUAUCUGUCAAAUUCAACAGCACAAGAGAAAAAUGUAAUAGCUGCUGUUAUUGUGACUUAUAGAUAACUGUUUUUAAAAAACAGUUUCUUGUAUUUUUUUUUCUAACAAUACAGUGGAUAAUUCCUGGUGGAACCAGGGCUCAAAUGCAGUUGAUUGGAUUCUAAAUUCUUUAAUCUUUUUGGUACAGCAUUUGUUGUUAUUGUUUUUUUAAAUAAAUGACAGCAGAAUGCAUUAAAAUUCUUAUAACAAAUAUACAACACAAUUUUUCAUAUCUAUUGUUGUAUAUAAAGUAUGUUGACACCAAUUCAUGUCUUCAUACAUAUACUUUGGAUAAUGAUGUCUAUUGAUACAAUUUCAAGACCCAGCUUCUCCUCUGAAUUUAAAAUUCACUGGCUUAAACAUAACACAACAAUCUAGUUUCUUUAUCUAUAAAACAAGAACAGUAAGCCUAGCCCUAACUUUUUUUGUUUUGCAGGAGAUUUUUGAAAAUUCAAUAAAAUGGCUUUUAUGAAACUAGUUUCUAAACCACUAUAUAAAUGUAAAUAUUAUUAUACACCAUAAUUUUCUUGUUUUUUGUCCAGAGAAAACUGAAGAAUUUUUUUUCAGAACCAAGAAAUAAAAUAAAAACUUAAAGAAUCUCCCCCCGCCCCCGCCCCACCACCACCAUUUUUUAUAGUUUGUAAGUUGGAAAUAGUUUUAGUUUUGUCAAUAACUAAUCUAAUCUUUUAUGGACUAUUCUCUGUAUAUCUAAGAAUACCUGUAAACCACAGUUAAGAAAAUAUUCUCCUACAUUCUAAAGUUUUUAUAAUUUUAUAAUUAACAUUUAGUAUUGUUUAUUAUGUAUGACUUGGGGAGGGUUACUAGUUUCAUUUUUUCAAUUUUCAUGUUGCCCUGGUAAACUUUUGUAAAUAGUCCAUUCUUUUCUCACUGGUAUAAAAUGUCAUCAAUAAAGUUUGUAAAUGUGUAAGUUUG